AUGGAGUAGCCAUUCUUCUGUUCCUUUACUUUCCUAAUCAACUUGCUUUCAGUUUACAGACUCACCCUGAAUUAUUCUUGCGUAAGAUCUAAGAACCCUCUCUUGGGGUCUGGAUCAGGACUCCUUUCCUGUAACACACCUAUGUUCUUGGACUUAAGAAUGACCCUCAGACAUGGUGACUUCUUGGUCAUCUAACAGCUUUGGCUUAUUUGAGUGUGCCCGAGCACGUGUGGGAAGCGGGCGUGCACCGAGAACAACGAGUGCUGCCACCCCGAGUGCCUGGGCAGCUGCAGCGCGCCUGACAACGACACGGCCUGUGUAGCUUGCCGCCACUACUACUAUGCCGGUGUCUGUGUGCCUGCCUGCCCGCCCAACACCUACAGGUUUGAGGGCUGGCGCUGUGUGGACCGUGACUUCUGCGCCAACAUCCUCAGCGCCGAGAGCAGCGACUCCGAGGGGUUUGUGAUCCACGACGGCGAGUGCAUGCAGGAGUGCCCCUCGGGCUUCAUCCGCAACGGCAGCCAGAGCAUGUACUGCAUCCCUUGUGAAGGUCCUUGCCCGAAGGUCUGUGAGGAAGAAAAGAAAACAAAGACCAUUGAUUCUGUUACUUCUGCUCAGAUGCUCCAAGGAUGCACCAUCUUCAAGGGCAAUUUGCUC
Molecule: small RNA, 657 nt
Filed under: Pan troglodytes (chimpanzee)
Lineage: Eukaryota; Metazoa; Chordata; Mammalia; Primates; Hominidae
Description: processed transcript
Source: RNAcentral